GAGAAGGAAAAGAUCCUAGGCCCAGGUUUAAGUGGGAUAUACUGCAUUAAAGAGCCAUAGAGCUGAGCAAGCUAUGUAAAUGAACAUAUCUGAUUAGGCAAUGUUAGCAAAUCUGGAAAAUAGAGGGAUAUGAAAAAGCUAGAGUUUACAUAUUUCUCUAAAGUGAACAGUUGCUGCUCAAUUCUCUUGCCUACUUCAGCCAUAUGGGAUUGUAAGCCCAAACCUACCAGAACCUACUAUUUCUCAACAGAAUUCUUGAAUCCAAAUUUCCAUAUAAAAAUCAACCCAGAUUUCCAAUGAUGUCAACUUUUUAAAAUAUUUUAAAGGAUAGGUAUCCACUUGUUUGCUAUCUCUGAUUUAAGACGUCUCACAGAAAAUUAAGAACACUGCAAAUAUUUUUAAGUAGUCAAGAAAAAUAAAAGGUAAGAGGAUGGUUAUUAAAUGUGAUUCCUUGACAGAAUGACACACACAUUAUAUAUCAUUUUGUGGGAUAGUUACAACAGUGGUAAAAAGUAUUCGUGUUUAAUUGAGGAAACACACACACACACACACACACACACACACACACACACACACACACACACACACACACAUAUAAUCAGUCAACAUAGAAAAAUUGAAAACAGGGGCCAGACUAAAAUCCUGGUGAGGAAGUAAUGGUAGUUCUAGAUACUUCUAGCUAGUGUGACCUUGUGUGUAAAACAAUAAGGACAGAGCUGAGAUAAAAUGGAGUAAGAAUGAAAGAUUUGCUUAUUUUUCUAUCUACUUAUAUUGAAUUACUGGGAAUCAAGAUCAGGGCAGUGUAAAUACCAGGCAAGGGCUCACCACUUAGCUAUAUCUGCAGCUUUAUGAAUGUCAUUUUUAAAAGUAUUUUUCCAAUUUUUUAUUAGGUAUUUUAUUCAUUUACAUUUCAAAUGCUAUCCCGAAAGUCCCCUAUACACUCCCCCCACCUGCUACCAUACCUACCCACUCCCACUUCUUGGCCCUGGUUUUCCCCUGUACUGAGGCAUAUAAAGUUUUCAAGACCAAGGGGCCUCUCUAAAGAUUUAUUUUUACUAUUUAUAUGAAUACACUGUAGUUGUUUCCAGACACACCAGAAGAGGGCAUCAGAUCCCUUUACAGAUGAUUGUGAGCCACCAUGUGGUUGCUGAGAAUUGAACUCAGGACCUCUGGAAGAGCAGUCAGUGCUCUUAGCUGCUUAUGAGUGUCUUAGAGAGGAAUUCUUACUUUUUUAGAUCUUCUUGUCAUGUGAAAUGAGGAAGACUUCGCAGAUAGCCAUUUUCCUAUUUUCUCUCAUCACCUUUGACUUAUUUCUACUCAGAUACAAUUUUCCAUCUAUGGAAUGAUUAAAAAACUAUUGAACCCUCCUUAGUGUCAGAAUUAUCCCACCCAUGCUUUCAAGACAAACAGAAUGAUUUCUCAGAGUGAUUUGAUUCUGUAAACAACAUUCAAAUAUCCCUGCUCCUGAGAACUAGGAUCUUGACUUGAGUUAGCCUCAUGCCAGCAAUGAGUGAUGGGAAUAAGUAUAGAUUAAAUAGUCCGAAAACACAAAACAAAUUCUUAGUCCUACAGUUUUUAGAAGUUUGAUUUCCACAAGCCCAAUCUUAAACCCUCUUACUUGUGAAUGGGAAUAUUUUGCAUCUACUUGGAAAGAUAAAUUUAUGGAUUCAAUAAGGUCAUGUAUUGAAGGGUUUCAAUGCAUCCUUCAUAGAAGAGACAAAGUGCUAAAUUUUCUAGACCUCAUCACGUCUUAUCUCUCCAUAUCUGAUAUUUACUUCUUUAGUUCCACCACUUAAAGUCUAUAGCCCAGAUGUCACUGUUAACCUUUACUUUAUCUCAUUAGUUGUUGCUCAGAUUUUUUUUUAAUGCUUAACAUAGGUCUGAGAUUGUAUGAGGCACAGGGGUUACAGCAAUGGAAGUAAUAAUUGGUGGGGAUGUUAAGAGUCUAGUGAGAAAUACAAAUGUUAAAGUCUUGUCUUCUGCCCCCAAAUCAAAGCAUAUCUAGUAUUGCACAGUGCAUUUCUAAGCCUAGUGGAUUAAAAAGUGCUGAAAUGUCAUGAGGUCAAAGAAAAGAGCAAAGCUAAUGAAAUGAUUCAGAUCAGUGGCACAGAGACUGAGAUGAGAGAGUGUUGGGUCAAGGAAAACUAUGGGUGGUGUCAAGAACAAACAGCAGAGAAUUAAGGAAGUGCAUCAUUCAUAACCUUUUAGGAAUUGUCAAAAAAGUCUUUAUUUAGU
This 2235-nucleotide long non-coding RNA is filed under the name Mus musculus (house mouse). RNAcentral's name for it is "long non-coding RNA chr4:65523527-65525762". The record is from RNAcentral. Lineage: Eukaryota; Metazoa; Chordata; Mammalia; Rodentia; Muridae.